GCCCAGGUGUUGAAAUUGGUAGACAAGCUACCUUGAGGUGGUAGUGCCGAAAGGCGUGCUGGUUCAAGUCCAGUCCUGGGCACAA
This 85-nucleotide transfer RNA is filed under the name Candidatus Kaiserbacteria bacterium RIFCSPHIGHO2_01_FULL_46_22. RNAcentral describes it as "tRNA-Leu". It matches the Rfam family "tRNA". Rfam says of the family: Transfer RNA (tRNA) molecules are approximately 80 nucleotides in length. Their secondary structure includes four short double-helical elements and three loops (D, anti-codon, and T loops). Lineage: Bacteria; Candidatus Kaiseribacteriota. The record is from RNAcentral. RNAcentral also lists the same sequence under 1 other name.